CCUACGGGGGGCAGCAGUGAGGAAUAUUGGUCAAUGGGCGGGAGCCUGAACCAGCCAAGCCGCGUGAGGGAAGAAGGUACAGCGUAUCGUAAACCUCUUUUGUCAGGGAACAAAGGCGGGGACUAGUCUCCGGCUGAGGGUACCUGAAGAAAAAGCAUCGGCUAACUCCGUGCCAGCAGCCGCGGUAAUACGGAGGAUCCGAGCGUUAUCCGUAUUUAUUGGGUUUAAAGGGUGCGCAGGCGGCAUGUUAAGUCAGCGGUAAAAGCCCGGGGCGCAACCCCGGCGAGCCGUGGAAACUGGCGGGCUGGAGUUGGAGAGAAGUACGCGGAAUGCGCGGUGUAGCGGUGAAAUGCUUAGAUAGCGCGCAGAACCCCGAUUGCGAAGGCAGCGUACCGGCUCCACACUGACGCUGAGGCACGAAAGCGUGGGUAUCGAACAGGAUUAGAUACCCCUGUAGUC
This 459-nucleotide ribosomal RNA is filed under the name uncultured bacterium. Its description in RNAcentral is "partial 16S ribosomal RNA". It matches the Rfam family "Bacterial small subunit ribosomal RNA", at positions 338 to 795 of the family's 1533-position model. The record is from RNAcentral.